UUACCAGUACCAUUUCAAACACAACAUCCACUACUGCAGGGCAGCUCAGCAUUACAACAACCCUCUUCUCUCUCUUUCUUUGAGUGGGGAUGCUAAUAAAGAGGAGGUCCCUCAAAGGAAGCAAUGCAAUGCUGUUAUAUGAAGCAUCUGGAAGAUGAAGCACCUCUAUAUAAUAUUCAUUACAAUCAGAAGUAGCCUUUCCUCAGGAUCAGGCAUUUUUGCUGAAUAAAUGGUUCGGAGAAAAAUUUCCAACCAGCUCUACUGAGGACCAUGAGUCCUGGAUGUGCACAG
Trachemys scripta elegans is the source of this 291-nucleotide long non-coding RNA. RefSeq lists it as uncharacterized. Lineage: Eukaryota; Metazoa; Chordata; Testudines; Emydidae. The record is from RefSeq and is a predicted model, not a curated record. The transcript has 3 exons.